GAGUAAACGACCAACGUGUUUUAUAUAACUGCAUGUAACACAAACGUUGCGCUCUGAGCGUACGUGUCACUCAGAUGCUGUUGCUUGCAUGUAUGCUCACAGCCAGGGAAUGAGUGUCCAAAAUGAAGACGUGUGAGGGAAUCUCAGACUCAGAAGAUGGAUAAGCAUAGUUCUGUAAAGAGGAUUUCUGAGCGUGUGCAGAGUUGAACUGAUCCUAUCCUAUUAAUGUACAUCAAAGGGCGGUUCAGUAAGACUCCUGUUAACAAACGGAUGUGUCUAUGUGCAGCUGGAACAAUAGAAUCUGUCGAACACGUUCUAGAAAGAGUUCAUCCAGCUGCAGCAUUUUAGGAGAAUGGAAAGAAGAACUACAUUUACAAUGCACAGAAUGAGUGAACUGAGACCUAAAUGAGUUGCCUCUGAAACAAUCAAAAAAGGGGCAGCUGGACUGAGAGUUCUGCUCUAGCAGGCUUGGAGCUCAGCAAUGGAGCCCAAACUGAACCACUCCAGUGCAGUGAACUCCAGUGCUAUUCCUGGAUUUUUCCAGAAGUAUUUUAACACCAAACUACCAGUGCUCAGUUGCAAAGCCUCCAAGUGGAACAAUGCAGGCAGCCUCUUCCACAUGACAGAUGACUUGGGACAAGCAAUGGAAACCUUAGUGACCAUGACAACAGACAACAAGGUGUCAGAACAGCAAGAUGUGUUUUACAACUUCAAUGCUCUCAUGGUUUUUACAAUAUUCAUAUGAUAAAAGGAUUAGACUGUAAGAGUUUACAUGAAAACUUCUAUAUUUUUGUGCAGGGUAGAGGUACUAUACUGUAGAUUUCAGUAGAUUCUUAAGUCUGUUAUUGUUUUGUUAACAAUGGCAGGUUUUACACAUCUAUGCAAUUGUACAAAAAAAAUAAGAAGACUACAUGUAAAAUCUUGAUAGCUACAUAAC
Molecule: long non-coding RNA, 937 nt
Organism: Rhineura floridana
Lineage: Eukaryota; Metazoa; Chordata; Lepidosauria; Squamata; Rhineuridae
Exons: 3
Source: RefSeq, a predicted model, not a curated record